AGAGCUCUCUCACAUUUAGAGUGAAGAUAAGUAUGGUAAAAGGAAGGGCCCACUUCCUCUUGUCAGCUAUAAAACUGGUGACUUCAUCAAUAGCCCCUCAGUUCUGGUAGGAGGUCGUGAGUGUCGUAUCAAGUCGGGACACGCCCCUGUAUGAUCUUGCUUGGAUCCUAAAUUUGAAAGGAGAAAAUGAUUGAUUUCCCCAAAAGAAUUUCCAUGCCUUUCUUCUUUCCUGUGUGCACUGAGAUGUUCUACAGAGCAAGUCCUUGCUCUCUCUAUGACUAGAGUGUAGUCGAUAAUAAGGGUAAUGGCACACCCACAAGGGUGGGUCGUUCACAGCCAACAAACAGAAAACUGGGCCCCAACCUAUGAGUUGCCCAGUUACACAGCUCAACCUGGCAUCUCCCUGACAAAUGCCAGGAUAUUAUUCCUACCUAAGGCCUGUUAUGACUCCCUAGGGAAACAACCCAGUGUCCUCCAUUGCUCUCCCUUGGACCCCAAACUUUUCCUUUCUUCUCUGGGUGGUCCGUAGGCCCAUUUCCAUUUGUAUGUGCCAGUAUGUCUGUGUCGUGAGUGUGAUGGUGCCUUUCACACAGAGAUUUCACAGAACCACUCUCAUGCCCUACCCGGCCUGCCCCCCCAUCCCCACCCCCACUGCCCAUGGUGUGACUGUUUUGCUAUUCAAGACUCUCUGUAAAAAAAUGUACAAAUAAAAGUAAAAGCUGAAAAUUAAGGGGAGGGGAAUUGCAUCUUCUUAAAUGCUGUAAUGUAGCCCUCGGUUUUCUGAGGGUCUGUGAGGACUGCCCUAGAAUCCUGACUCUGGGGGCACUUGAAGGGAGGGAACGCCUGUCACAGAUUUUUCUGGUUGUUUUCCUGAUGGUCGCUUCUGCUUGCUUGGUAUUCUCUGUUCUGAAGACUUUUGCCUUUAAAGUUAAGUAGGUCUCCCCCCACCCCCAAAUAAAAGCAUAUCAUCCAAGUUAGAAUAGUGAAGGUCAAGGCCGGUGUCAACUCCAAGACAUGGCCUGGGGUGAUAUUAGUGAUUUUGUUAAUAGCUCACCUGGAACCUUGGGUGAAUCUUGUGACCUCACUGUGUAUCCAUGUCCUCUCAGCCUCACAGGAAGCAGGGUGACAUUGGGGACACAUGUAACACCCAGUCUCCCUGUCCAUUCUGCUGCUAUUUGUGCCCAUGCUGGCUGCCGUAUGCUGACUGAGCUGAGGCAGUUCAGGAGAAGCUCUCUCCCUGUUGCUCUGGCCCUAAGCUGACUCGCCUCAGAAAGUAACCUCAAGCCAGCAGCCAGUUUGAGUGCAGAGUCCAAAGCCUUUGAUCUACCUUUUCAGUCUCAGAUGCCUUUUCCCACCCACUUUGAUGAUCUCAUCUUGCUCUCUGCUGACAGAGCUUUGCCUCACAGGACUGGGGUAGGAGAAAGACCAUCAAAGGUGAUGGUGUGAGUGAAUCGCUUUACCAACUGUGGCUGGCUCAACGAAUGUGGCUUACUGCAUAAAGAAGCUCAGGCUGCCCAGGGGACGCUAUAAAAUGGGGAGGGGAAAAAAGAAGGUGGUUCUGGGGAUGGGGUGGAGGUUGUGGGUAGAAGAUGUGGUUAGAUAAACUUAGAGGUUAAUGAAGAAAUGUUUGUGCUUCCAAAAGCCCCUCAGAAACAUCCCCAAGGCAGUAACCCUGGCAGGAUCCAGGACAUGGAUAAUCCUGGAGUACAAGAGGCUGCUAGGGAGGAGUGGUUGCCCAAGAGAGAUACACAAAUUUGGCCUGUGCUAGCACCCUUACACUCAUGGUUACAGGCCCUUCAGUCUAACACUUCCUCAUUCCUAAUGGAGCUUGGUGACCCUCCUUGAGAAUUGUAUAAGGAAGGACUUAGACCACCGCUGUCCAAUAAAAUUUGAUACAAGUUGUGUAUGAAAUUUGAAUUAUUCUACUACCUGGGUUUAAAAGCACCAACAAAACAGGUGAUAUUAAUUUCAAUGCUAUAUUUGAACCCAGUAGAUCAAAAGAUAUUAGCACUUCAAUGUGGAACCAGUGUAAAAGUCACUGGCAUGUUUUAUGUUCUGUCUAUUUCAAGUAAAAUCUUCUAAACCCAAGGUGACUUUUACCCUGAGAAAACCUCUCCAACUGGAUCAGCCACACCUUGAGUGCUCAAAAGCUGCACCAGGCUUUUGUGACCAUCUAGGAGAACAGACUUAAGUCUUUUCAGAGCCUGAGCAGGGUGCCCAUUGCCAGUGAGUCACACACUGUGGUGGAUUUCCUUGUGGGAACAAAGACAAAGGCUGGAUUUGCUGAAUAGAAGCUGAGCUAUGACCAUGAUGCUGGCUCACUUUUAGAAGCUCUACUUUACCUGUGUAGUAAGGGGAGAGAGUCACUGCUGUGAACCAACCACAUGUUAUGCCUGCCUCAAGAGCUAUCAGUGCUCUCCUUGGACAUGGCCCUGAUGAUCUAAGUCCUAGGAAGAAAGCAGGCCAUGGCCUUUGGCUGCAGGAGAGUCAGCCGCGGCCCACCCUAUCCAUGUAGAUGUCUUAUAUCUCAUGAUAAGGGAUAGACAGACCUCCCUGUUGCUAAGAAUAAACACCUCUCCCAUCUUUUAAUAUCUGGUGGAGUCUCCUGCUAAAAGCAUCUCACUGAUAUUUGGAGCUGUUUGAUUCAUCCUCUAAUUGCUUUAAUUUUUUUUUUAAAUCUUGAGUAUUGAAAAGGGGAUAUGGGAAAAGAAUAGCAGGCAGACCGGGUCUCCUAUGAGGUAGCAGAGACAAGUCCUAUCCUUAGACUAGGACUAAGACCACCAUUUCCUACCUCUCCUUUCUGCUUAGAGAUCUUCCUUAGAUCUAAAUAAGCCUCUUCUCUGUGUGUGAGAAAGACAGGUAGUGAGAUCUUAGGGCAUAGAACAGAAUAAAUAUAAGCAACCGGCCCCACCAAUCAUGUCAAAGAUCCAGUAUGAUAAGGCUUGAUUCACUUAAAAUAUAAUAUUCUGAGCCCUAUGCUGUCAAACAGGAGAAAGGGAGCUGGUGAGUACAUCGAGUAUGUGGUCAUUAGAAAGGGACCAGGGCCUACAAAACGCUCAAACACCUGGCGUGUUGAGGGUCUGCCAGAUUAUUGCUCAGUCAAUAUAAAUUUAUUUACCUUCACUCUAAUUUGCAUAGUGCUUUCUGAUUGAUUAGAUACAGUGUGGUGUAUACCGCAGGAUUCUAACAAGACUCUCUCCUCUUGGAGGUAGCAAUUCCUGUGGUUAUUGGUGCUAAAAUAAGAUUAAAUAUUAUGUUAAUUUGUUCUAAUACAAUUUGAAUAAAUGUAUUGUUUAAUCUUAACAAGAAUGCUACAUCUUAUCAGAUCUAUUGUACUGUCUGUUUCUUCUCAUAAUUAAUUAAUUACAGGAAAGGUGAUCCAAACCAGAUCUCGAAACUCUUGUGAUACUCUGAGAGGAACUUACCAGGGAAGUGGGAGGGGGAAUGAAAAGGGAAAUUGCCAGGUUCCUGUGACUUUGAAAGGACCGAGGAAGCAGAGAGCGAGCAUUUGGGGACUUCACUGAAACUGACUGCAUCUUGCAAUUUUCUUUUUCGAAUUGGCAGAAAUAUUGUUAUUUCCAUCGAUUGAAGAAAAAAAGUGUCUGGUAAUUAAUUAAAUGACUUGUUCAUGGAAAACAAUAAAAAUAAAUAAUCUGUCAGUUGUGGAAUGUAAACUGAUUAAACAAUUAAAUAAAGAAGACCAUGUUGUGUGUUUUAAAAGCCC
This 3724-nucleotide long non-coding RNA is filed under the name Rattus norvegicus (Norway rat). RNAcentral's name for it is "long non-coding RNA NONRATT020391". The record is from RNAcentral. Lineage: Eukaryota; Metazoa; Chordata; Mammalia; Rodentia; Muridae.